GACGAACGCUGGCGGCGUACCUAAUACAUGCAAGUCGAGCGGACUUUCAAGAAGCUUGCUUUUUGAAAGUUAGCGGCGGACGGGUGAGUAACACGUGGGCAACCUGCCUGUAAGACGGGGAUAACUCCGGGAAACCGGGGCUAAUACCGGAUAAUAUCUUUCUUCGCAUGAAGGAAGGUUGAAAGGCGGCGCAAGCUGCCGCUUGCAGAUGGGCCCGCGGCGCAUUAGCUAGUUGGUGAGGUAACGGCUCACCAAGGCGACGAUGCGUAGCCGGCCUGAGAGGGUGACCGGCCACACUGGGACUGAGACACGGCCCAGACUCCUACGGGAGGCAGCAGUAGGGAAUCUUCCGCAAUGGACGAAAGUCUGACGGAGCAACGCCGCGUGAGCGAAGAAGGUCUUCGGAUCGUAAAGCUCUGUUGUCAGGGAAGAACAAGUACCGUUCGAAUAGGGCGGUACCUUGACGGUACCUGACCAGAAAGCCACGGCUAACUACGUGCCAGCAGCCGCAGUAA
Molecule: ribosomal RNA, 515 nt
Filed under: uncultured bacterium
Lineage: Bacteria
Description: partial 16S ribosomal RNA
Rfam family: Bacterial small subunit ribosomal RNA
Source: RNAcentral